RNAcentral lists this ribosomal RNA (405 nucleotides) under uncultured Oscillospira sp. RNAcentral describes it as "bacterial SSU rRNA". It matches the Rfam family "Bacterial small subunit ribosomal RNA", at positions 355 to 774 of the family's 1533-position model. Lineage: Bacteria; Bacillati; Bacillota; Clostridia; Eubacteriales; Oscillospiraceae. The record is from RNAcentral.
UGGGGAAUAUUGGGCAAUGGGCGCAAGCCUGACCCAGCAACGCCGCGUGAAGGAAGAAGGCUUUCGGGUUGUAAACUUCUUUUAUCAGGGACGAAGCAAGUGACGGUACCUGAUGAAUAAGCCACGGCUAACUACGUGCCAGCAGCCGCGGUAAUACGUAGGUGGCAAGCGUUAUCCGGAUUUACUGGGUGUAAAGGGCGUGUAGGCGGGAGUGCAAGUCAGAUGUGAAAACUAUGGGCUCAACCCAUAGCCUGCAUUUGAAACUGUACUUCUUGAGUGCUGGAGAGGCAAUCGGAAUUCCGUGUGUAGCGGUGAAAUGCGUAGAUAUACGGAGGAACACCAGUGGCGAAGGCGGAUUGCUGGACAGUAACUGACGCUGAGGCGCGAAAGCGUGGGGAGCAAACA